CGUUCCAGUUGCAUGCUGACUCAGAUUGAACGCUGGCGGGAUGCUUUACAUACAAGUCAGACGGCGGCACCGGACUUCGGUCUGGUGGCGAGUGGCGAACAGGUGAGUGACUAUCCGGAACGUGCCUAGUGGCGGGGAUAACUACGCGAAAAUCGCUGUACCCGCAUACGCCCUUCAGGAGGAAAGCGGGGGCCUUCGGGCCUCGCGCACUACUAGAGCGGCCGAUAUCAGUUAACUUAGUUGGUGGGGUAACGGCUCACCCAAAGACGACGAUCCAUGCGGCGCUGGUUUGAGAGGACGACCAGCCACACGGGACUGAGACACGGCCCAGACUCCUACAAGGAGAACAGCAGUGGGGGCCCCGGACAAUGGAAACCCUGAUCCAGCCAUCCGCGUGUGCGAUGAAGGCCUUCCGGGUUUGUAAAGCACUUUGGCAGAAGAAGCAGCACGGGAUAUUACCCGUGCAACUGACGGUACCUGCAGAAUAAGCACCGGCUAACUACGUGCCAGCAGCCGCGGUAAUACGUGAGGUGCAAGCGUUAAUCAGAUUACUGGGCGUAAAGCGUUACGCAGGCGGUUCGGAAAGAAAGAUGUUGAAAUCCCCGGAAGCAACACUGGAACUGCAUUUUUAACUUUACCGAGCUAAGAGUGUGUCAGAGGAGGUGGAAUUCCGCGUGUAGCAGUGAAAUGCGUGAAUAUGCCGGAGGAACACCGAUGGCGAAGGCAGCGUCGCAAGGAUAACAUGAGCGCCAUGCGCAGGCGUGGGGAGCAAACGGGAUUAGAUACCCACGGUAGUCCACGCCACUAUGAAGGCGAUGGUGUCUUAAAAUCUUACCACAGGGUUUAGGUGAGCUUUAUGUUCCCAAAUUUCUGUGUCUUUGUGAGAGUUAUUGCUCAAGAUUGUGAUUAUAAAUUGAACUCAGAGAGGGUGUGACGGGGACCCGCUGAAGCGGUGGAUGAUGUGGAUUAAUUCGAUGCAACGCGAAAAACCUUACCUACGCCCGGCAUGUCUGGAAUCCGAAGAGAGAUUGGGAGUGCUCGCAAGAGAACCGGAACGGUUGCCGCAUGGCUGUCGUCGGGCUCGUGUCGUGAGAUGUUGGGUUGGAAGUCUACAACGAGCGCAACCCUUGUCAUUAGUUGCUACGAAGGGCACUCGCCUGAAUAUGAGACUGCCAGUGACAAACCGGAAGGUGGGGAUGACGUCAAGUCUCAUGGCCCAUAUGGGUGAAGACUUCACACGUCAUACAAUGGUCAGGACAGUUAUCCAACCCCGCGAGGGAGACCAAUCCCAGAAACCCGAUCGUAGUCGGAUCGCAGUCUGCAACUCGACUGCGUGAAGUCCAGAGAUCUUGUGUCGCGGAUCAGCAUGUCGCGGUGAAUACGUUCCGGGUCUUGUACACCGCCCGUCACACCAUGGGAGUGGGUUUUACCAGAAGUAGUUAGCCUAACCGUAAGGAGGGCGAUUACCACGGUAGGAUUCAUGACUGGGGUGAAGUCGCUCAACAAGGUAG
This 1511-nucleotide ribosomal RNA is filed under the name uncultured Bordetella sp. RNAcentral's name for it is "partial 16S-23S ribosomal RNA intergenic spacer". It matches the Rfam family "Bacterial small subunit ribosomal RNA". The record is from RNAcentral. Lineage: Bacteria; Pseudomonadati; Pseudomonadota; Betaproteobacteria; Burkholderiales; Alcaligenaceae.